ACAAGAAGCACUUUUAAGAAAGAAACAAACAAAUUAAUCUCCAUGUGCUUCAGGAAAGACACUGUAGCUGGAAGCAGGCCAGGUUUUCACUCUGAAGGAUGCUCUGCGCUUGGCAAAGCCCAGAAAUGUGUGUCUGCAAUGGCUCUUCUGCUAAGAUUUUGAAAUUUAAUAAUUACCAUCCCUUAAAGGAGGAACUGCAGCUUAGUGGGAGCAUAGCAUCUAGCAAGGAAAAACCCCACCGCGUUAGCAGCAAUGAAGAGUUUGUUACGCAGGAGCUGCACAAACAGAACGGAGCUCUCGGAGAGGAGCGCUCAGACUGCGCCAUGUGGCAGCCCCGAGCCGAGGUCACGGCGCGGGGCUUGCGGCGAGCCGGCCCAGAGGUAGGCUGAUGACAGCUGAAGAAGACUGUAUUUGCUGAAGAGCAGCAUGAUGGUAGAGAGGAGCGGAGCUCCUGAGGGAGAUCUAAUGGUGCCUCUCCUUCCUGCACAGAGAUAAAGACUUAUAAUAAGCGUGUAUGUUCACCAUCUGGCUCUGUGCAUGUGGUCCUUAUGGAGGCGAAAGCAGCACAAUCUGUAAAUGAUCAGGAGCCAUCGCACUCUCUCCAGAGAAUCCACGAUGCAAUCAAGGUGACAGAUGGCAUGGCCGCUGCUGUGGCCUCAUGGAGAAGAUCAAAAUCACCUUCAAUAAACUCUGACUGAAAUGGGCAUGAGCACCUCAAAAAAGUCAGUUUGUCAGUCAAACUGCGACAGCAAGCUGCAUUGGGGAAACAUAGCAGCCAGCUCUCUGUUUUCAAUCGUUUCCGUCUGACUGAGCCUGAACUAUGAUCUUUCUCAAAUUGUCCUUUCUGUUUAGCUGAAGCAGGCCAGCAAAUUGCCAGAUUCAUAGCUUUAUUGAAGGAAAUUGAAAACAUGAUGUCCUCAAUUCAAGGGACAAACAGCUGGCAGGUGCUUGGACACCCAAGCACAUAAAAUGGACCCCUGGUCUUUUGGACAAGUUUGUCCAACUUUUGUCAGAGUAAAUAUAGAUAUAUGAUAAAAUAGAUAUAAUAAAAUCCCAAUUUAGGCAGGGUUUAUCAGGCAUUAGCUGACAGCAAUUA
This is a long non-coding RNA of Passer domesticus (house sparrow), 1096 nucleotides long. RefSeq lists it as uncharacterized. The transcript has 2 exons. NCBI's taxonomy places the organism in Eukaryota, Metazoa, Chordata, Aves, Passeriformes, Passeridae. The record is from RefSeq and is a predicted model, not a curated record.